This 429-nucleotide ribosomal RNA is filed under the name uncultured bacterium. RNAcentral describes it as "bacterial SSU rRNA". It matches the Rfam family "Bacterial small subunit ribosomal RNA", at positions 29 to 506 of the family's 1533-position model. The record is from RNAcentral.
GCGAACGCUGGCGGCAGGCUUAACACAUGCAAGUCGAGCGCCCCGCAAGGGGAGCGGCAGACGGGAGAGUAACACGUGGGAACGUGCCCUUUGGUCUGGAAUAACUCAGGGAAACUUGAGCUAAUGCCGGAUACGCCCUUCGGGGGAAAGAUUUAUCGCCAUUGGAGCGGCCCGCGUCUGAUUAGCUAGUUGGUGAGGUAACGGCUCACCAAGGCGACGAUCAGUAGCUGGUCUGAGAGGAUGACCAGCCUCAUUGGGACUGAGACACGGCCCAAACUCCUACGGGAGGCAGCAGUGGGGAAUAUUGGACAAUGGGCGAAAGCCUGAUCCAGCCAUGCCGCGUGAGUGAUGAAGGCCUUAGGGUUGUAAAGCUCUUUUAGCAGGGAAGAUAAUGACGGUACCUGCAGAAAAAGCCCCGGCUAACUUCGU